RNAcentral lists this ribosomal RNA (574 nucleotides) under Dryophytes japonicus (Japanese treefrog). Its description in RNAcentral is "partial 16S ribosomal RNA". It matches the Rfam family "Bacterial large subunit ribosomal RNA", at positions 1820 to 2602 of the family's 2925-position model. The record is from RNAcentral. Lineage: Eukaryota; Metazoa; Chordata; Amphibia; Anura; Hylidae.
GCCUCUUGAUAAAAUAUAAGAGGUCCAGCCUGCCCAGUGACUCUGUUCAACGGCCGCGGUAUCCUAACCGUGCGAAGGUAGCGUAAUCACUUGUUCUUUAAAUGAGGACUAGUAUGAAUGGCACCACGAAGGUUACACUGUCUCCUUUUUCUAAUCAGUGAAACUAAUCCCCCCGUGAAGAAGCGGGGAUAGACCUAUAAGACGAGAAGACCCUAUGGAGCUUUAAACUAAAUAACAUUCGCUUCUAUUUAAUUUCACUUCAGAGUAAUUAACAUUUAUUUUAGCCCCCUGAUUAUUAGUUUUAGGUUGGGGUGACCGCGGAGUAAAAAAUAACCUCCACAUUGAAUGGGGAAGUACCCCUGAACUAUGAGCUACAACUCUAAGCACCAAUAAAUUGACAUUAAUUGACCCAAUAAAUUGAUCAACGAACCAAGUUACCCUAGGGAUAACAGCGCAAUCCGCUUUAAGAGCUCCUAUCGACAAGCGGGUUUACGACCUCGAUGUUGGAUCAGGGUAUCCCAGUGGUGCAGCCGCUACUAAAGGUUCGUUUGUUCAACGAUUAAAACCCUACGUG